This 1546-nucleotide ribosomal RNA is filed under the name Staphylococcus aureus. RNAcentral's name for it is "partial 23S ribosomal RNA". It matches the Rfam family "Bacterial large subunit ribosomal RNA", at positions 751 to 2297 of the family's 2925-position model. Lineage: Bacteria; Bacillati; Bacillota; Bacilli; Caryophanales; Staphylococcaceae. The record is from RNAcentral.
UUCAGGUAACACUGAAUGGAGGACCGAACCGACUUACGUUGAAAAGUGAGCGGAUGAACUGAGGGUAGCGGAGAAAUUCCAAUCGAACCUGGAGAUAGCUGGUUCUCUCCGAAAUAGCUUUAGGGCUAGCCUCAAGUGAUGAUUAUUGGAGGUAGAGCACUGUUUGGACGAGGGGCCCCUCUCGGGUUACCGAAUUCAGACAAACUCCGAAUGCCAAUUAAUUUAACUUGGGAGUCAGAACAUGGGUGAUAAGGUCCGUGUUCGAAAGGGAAACAGCCCAGACCACCAGCUAAGGUCCCAAAAUAUAUGUUAAGUGGAAAAGGAUGUGGCGUUGCCCAGACAACUAGGAUGUUGGCUUAGAAGCAGCCAUCAUUUAAAGAGUGCGUAAUAGCUCACUAGUCGAGUGACACUGCGCCGAAAAUGUACCGGGGCUAAACAUAUUACCGAAGCUGUGGAUUGUCCUUUGGACAAUGGUAGGAGAGCGUUCUAAGGGCGUUGAAGCAUGAUCGUAAGGACAUGUGGAGCGCUUAGAAGUGAGAAUGCCGGUGUGAGUAGCGAAAGACGGGUGAGAAUCCCGUCCACCGAUUGACUAAGGUUUCCAGAGGAAGGCUCGUCCGCUCUGGGUUAGUCGGGUCCUAAGCUGAGGCCGACAGGCGUAGGCGAUGGAUAACAGGUUGAUAUUCCUGUACCACCUAUAAUCGUUUUAAUCGAUGGGGGGACGCAGUAGGAUAGGCGAAGCGUGCGAUUGGAUUGCACGUCUAAGCAGUAAGGCUGAGUAUUAGGCAAAUCCGGUACUCGUUAAGGCUGAGCUGUGAUGGGGAGAAGACAUUGUGUCUUCGAGUCGUUGAUUUCACACUGCCGAGAAAAGCCUCUAGAUAGAAAAUAGGUGCCCGUACCGCAAACCGACACAGGUAGUCAAGAUGAGAAUUCUAAGGUGAGCGAGCGAACUCUCGUUAAGGAACUCGGCAAAAUGACCCCGUAACUUCGGGAGAAGGGGUGCUCUUUAGGGUUAACGCCCAGAAGAGCCGCAGUGAAUAGGCCCAAGCGACUGUUUAUCAAAAACACAGGUCUCUGCUAAACCGUAAGGUGAUGUAUAGGGGCUGACGCCUGCCCGGUGCUGGAAGGUUAAGAGGAGUGGUUAGCUUCUGCGAAGCUACGAAUCGAAGCCCCAGUAAACGGCGGCCGUAACUAUAACGGUCCUAAGGUAGCGAAAUUCCUUGUCGGGUAAGUUCCGACCCGCACGAAAGGCGUAACGAUUUGGGCACUGUCUCAACGAGAGACUCGGUGAAAUCAUAGUACCUGUGAAGAUGCAGGUUACCCGCGACAGGACGGAAAGACCCCGUGGAGCUUUACUGUAGCCUGAUAUUGAAAUUCGGCACAGCUUGUACAGGAUAGGUAGGAGCCUUUGAAACGUGAGCGCUAGCUUACGUGGAGGCGCUGGUGGGAUACUACCCUAGCUGUGUUGGCUUUCUAACCCGCACCACUUAUCGUGGUGGGAGACAGUGUCAGGCGGGCAGUUUGACUGGGGCGGUCGCCUCCUAAAAGG